This 121-nucleotide transfer RNA is filed under the name Flavobacterium potami. Its description in RNAcentral is "tRNA-OTHER". It matches the Rfam family "tRNA". Rfam says of the family: Transfer RNA (tRNA) molecules are approximately 80 nucleotides in length. Their secondary structure includes four short double-helical elements and three loops (D, anti-codon, and T loops). Further hydrogen bonds mediate the characteristic L-shaped molecular structure. tRNAs have two regions of fundamental functional importance: the anti-codon, which is responsible for specific mRNA codon recognition, and the 3' end, to which the tRNAs corresponding amino acid is attached (by aminoacyl-tRNA synthetases). tRNAs cope with the degeneracy of the genetic code in two manners: having more than one tRNA (with a specific anti-codon) for a particular amino acid; and 'wobble' base-pairing, i.e. permitting non-standard base-pairing at the 3rd anti-codon position. The record is from RNAcentral. Lineage: Bacteria; Pseudomonadati; Bacteroidota; Flavobacteriia; Flavobacteriales; Flavobacteriaceae.
GAAGCAGUAGCUCAGUUGGAUAGAGCAUUGGAAUAUUAGUUUUGGAAUUAUCUUAAAGGUCAAUUAAAACUUACUUCAAUUAGGGAUCCAAAGGUCGUGGGUUCGAAUCCCAUCUGCUUCA